RNAcentral lists this long non-coding RNA (1004 nucleotides) under Meleagris gallopavo (turkey). RNAcentral's name for it is "lncRNA (ENSMGAG00000022991.1)". The record is from RNAcentral. Lineage: Eukaryota; Metazoa; Chordata; Aves; Galliformes; Phasianidae.
ACAGGGUGCACAGGUAGCAGGGCUGAAAAAAGCCGGAGUGGCUGUGGGCUGCUCCCGGAGAGCGAUGGGACAUCACAGCACACCACGGAAGGCCUUGUCCUUUCUGCAAGAGCUCCUUUCCCCUCGCCACUCCUUUUCUCCUAAGUCCCAAAAGCAUUUUGUAACCUGGGGAUUAUGUUCAGCAUAUUUCUGGUUAGCAAAGCAGGUUGACCACUCUGCCUUCCUACCUGUAGUUUGUCUGGAUCUGUUCUUGAUUUCCUUCUUCCGUUGAGUAUUCAAAAGUACUUGGUUUCUAACAGCAGCAUUGCUUGCUUCCCUCAACAGCCGUAAGCCAUUCUUUCGUAGAAUCAUAGAAUCAUCAAGGUUGGAAAAGGCCUCUAAGAUCAUCCAGUCCAACUGUUUUCCAAUCACCAAUGUUGCCCACUAAAUCAUGUCCCUCAGUAGAGCAUCUAAAUGUUUCUUCAACAGCUCUAGUGACAGUGACUCGGCCACCUCCCCAGGCAGCCCAUUCCUGUUGGGGAAUGGCUGCAAGAGCAGGGCGGCCAUGAGAAUAUGUACGAGCAUAGCUGGUGCAGCGGCACAGAUUGCAGAGCCAUGGGAAAAUACUAGGAGUUAGAUAGGAGUUACAAGGUCCUUGGGGCAGCAUGUAAACAGCGGGCCCACAUCGGCAGCUGUGCUCUUUGGAUGUGGGGUGGGGCUGACAAGUAAACUGGCUUAGCAGCACAGGGGUGAAUGCUGACUGAGCAUUGGUUAAGGCUGAGCAGCCCACCUAGCAGCCAAUGUUGUGCACCAAUAGUAAGCGAACACGUGUGUAUUGGAAACCUAUAUAAACCCUAUGUGUGCAACAGUAAAGUGAAGCUUGAUCACUCAAAAAAAAAAAAAAAAAAAGAAAAAAAACCUCUUCCUGGACACAGCCGACCUUCUUGCCUGUUUGCAGCCCAGCACAUGCCAUGUGGUGUGAGGGAUGGAGGGGAGAGCCCAGACCUUUGAGGAGCAGCUUAGGG